UCCGCGGUAGCUCAGCGGUAGAGCAUCCGACUGUUAAUCGGACGGUCGUAGGUUCGAAUCCUACCCGCGGAGCCA
This 75-nucleotide transfer RNA is filed under the name Filomicrobium insigne. RNAcentral's name for it is "tRNA_Asn_GTT". It matches the Rfam family "tRNA". Rfam says of the family: Transfer RNA (tRNA) molecules are approximately 80 nucleotides in length. Their secondary structure includes four short double-helical elements and three loops (D, anti-codon, and T loops). Further hydrogen bonds mediate the characteristic L-shaped molecular structure. tRNAs have two regions of fundamental functional importance: the anti-codon, which is responsible for specific mRNA codon recognition, and the 3' end, to which the tRNAs corresponding amino acid is attached (by aminoacyl-tRNA synthetases). tRNAs cope with the degeneracy of the genetic code in two manners: having more than one tRNA (with a specific anti-codon) for a particular amino acid; and 'wobble' base-pairing, i.e. permitting non-standard base-pairing at the 3rd anti-codon position. RNAcentral also lists the same sequence under 2 other names. The record is from RNAcentral. Lineage: Bacteria; Pseudomonadati; Pseudomonadota; Alphaproteobacteria; Hyphomicrobiales; Hyphomicrobiaceae.